UAAACCUACGGGGCGCAGCAGUGGGGUUUAUUGGGUUGUGGGGGCACGCCUGACCCAGCAACGCCGCGUGAAGGAAGAAGGCCCUCGGGUUGUAAACUUCUUUUAUUCGGGACGAAACAAAUGACGGUACCGAAUGAAUAAGCCACGGCUAACUACGUGCCAGCAGCCGCGGUAAUACGUAGGUGGCAAGCGUUAUCCGGAUUUACUGGGUGUAAAGGGCGUGUAGGCGGGAGAGCAAGUCAGACGUGAAAUUCCAGGGCUCAACCAUGGAACUGCGUUUGAAACUGUUAU
Molecule: ribosomal RNA, 291 nt
Filed under: uncultured bacterium
Lineage: Bacteria
Description: partial 16S ribosomal RNA
Rfam family: Bacterial small subunit ribosomal RNA
Source: RNAcentral